GGCUGGUCCAAAGAUAGUGAGUUAUCUCACUUGAUUGUUCACAGUCAGUUAUAGGUUGAACUCCUCGUUCUACUACUUUCCCCAUUUCUCACUGCUGCAUUUGACUAGUCAUGA
RNAcentral lists this Y RNA (114 nucleotides) under Microcebus murinus (gray mouse lemur). RNAcentral's name for it is "Y RNA (ENSMICG00000044402.1)". It matches the Rfam family "Y RNA". From Rfam's summary of the family: Y RNAs are components of the Ro ribonucleoprotein particle (Ro RNP), in association with Ro60 and La proteins. The record is from Rfam by way of RNAcentral. Lineage: Eukaryota; Metazoa; Chordata; Mammalia; Primates; Cheirogaleidae.